AAAAGCCUCUUGUCAAUAAUGUGAUCUACAGAAAAUGCAUACGGGGAGGAGGGUAUAGCUCAGUUGGUAGAGUGUGUGUUUAGCAUGCACAAGAUCCUGGGCUCAAUUCCCAGUAACUCCAUUAAAGAAAAAAUGUACUCAAUAAAUCACAGAAAUAUUUUUUUCUCCUACAGUAAUGGAAAUAAAAACCUUUCUGCUGUCCCUCAAUACACUGAGCUCACACCUGACUCAGAGCCUUCACAGUAACUCUGGGAUUUUCUCACUACUCCAUCAGCCACCUCACUCAGUCUCCAUUCGGACAGUCCCUCCUCAAAGACGGCUUUUCUGGCCACCCUACUGAAAAGAAUGACCCAAUUCCACUCCCAUCAUCCCCUAGCUCCUUAGAAUGCUUUCUUUUAUUUAUAGCACUUACCAAUGCCCGAAAUGUGUUAUCAAUAUCAAUUUUGAAGGCACCAGAGGAACACAUACCUCUUUACUGAGAUGGGAAGAGCA
Non-coding RNA from Vicugna pacos (alpaca), 492 nucleotides. Lineage: Eukaryota; Metazoa; Chordata; Mammalia; Artiodactyla; Camelidae. The record is from RefSeq and is a predicted model, not a curated record.